GUCGUUUGAACUUUAGUUUUUUUAUGGUUUUGUGUAGUUCCAUUUCAUAACUUUAAAGAUAAAUACGAAAUAGUAGGAAAUCCCAGCUCACCCCUGAGGAGGGAUUUCCUACUAAGGUGAGUUUUGAAAAUUGUUGGAUCGACACUUUGGGAUUAUGAACAGUAUAAUAGCUUGAUUUGUUAUUAGAAUACCUACCGUGAAACCUCCCAACUAUAGUCCAAUACUGCAACUAUGGUCCAGAAGUUCAAAAGGAAAUUAAGUAUCAAUACCAAUGUUCCUUUUGGUUUACUCCGAGUUUUUUCUUCCAU
This is a long non-coding RNA of Cydia splendana, 308 nucleotides long. RefSeq lists it as uncharacterized. The transcript has 2 exons. NCBI's taxonomy places the organism in Eukaryota, Metazoa, Arthropoda, Insecta, Lepidoptera, Tortricidae. The record is from RefSeq and is a predicted model, not a curated record.